GACGAACGCUGGCGGCGUGCUUAACACAUGCGAGUCGAACGGUGAAGCGCCUUCCUUUUUGGUGGGUGUGGAUGAGUGGCGAACGAGUGAGUAACACGUGAGUAACCUGCCCCCUUCUUCUGGAUAACCGCAUGAAAGUGUGGCUAAUACGGGAUAUUCUGGGUCUGUCGCAUGAUGGGUCUGGGAAAGAUAUUGUUUCGGUGGGGGAUGGGCUCGCGGCCUAUCAGCUUGUUGGUGGGGUGAUGGCCUACCAAGGCGGUGACGGGUAGCCGGCCUGAGAGGGUGGACGGUCACACUGGGACUGAGACACGGCCCAGACUCCUACGGGAGGCAGCAGUGGGGAAUAUUGCACAAUGGGCGCAAGCCUGAUGCAGCGACGCCGCGUGAGGGAUGGAGGCCUUCGGGUUGUGAACCUCUUUCGCCAGUGAAGCAGGCCUGCCUCGUUUGUGGGUGGGUUGACGGUAGCUGGAUAAGAAGCGCCGGCUAACUACGUG
RNAcentral lists this ribosomal RNA (494 nucleotides) under uncultured bacterium. RNAcentral's name for it is "partial 16S ribosomal RNA". It matches the Rfam family "Bacterial small subunit ribosomal RNA", at positions 28 to 507 of the family's 1533-position model. The record is from RNAcentral.